Molecule: long non-coding RNA, 229 nt
Filed under: Elaeis guineensis (African oil palm)
Lineage: Eukaryota; Viridiplantae; Streptophyta; Magnoliopsida; Arecales; Arecaceae
Description: long non-coding RNA (EGUI_LNC080288)
Source: RNAcentral
CAAUUUCUUAAUCCAGAACGGGGAUCCAGUUGAACUCAAUGAGAACAAUGAGGAUCCGAUCACCUAUAUGGAUGCAAUGUAGAGGUCUGACUUCGAUAAGUGGCUGAAAAUUAUGAAAUUCAAAAUGAAAUCCAUGAAAAUCAACAAUGUAUGGACAUUAGUUGACCCACCUGAAGGGAUAAAAUUCAUAGGGUGUAAGUGGAUCUUCAAAAAGAAAAGGGGCACAGAC